CAUGAAGAACGUAGCGAAAUGCGAUACGUAAUGUGAAUUGCAGAAUUCAGUGAAUCAUCGAGUCUUUGAACGCACAUUGCGCCCCCUGGUAUUCCGGGGGGCAUGCCUGUCCGAGCGUCAUUGCUGCCCUCAAGCACGGCUUGUGUGUUGGGCCUCCGUCCUCCUCCCGGGGGACGGGCCCGAAAGGCAGCGGCGGCACCGCGUCCGGUCCUCGAGCGUAUGGGGCUUCGUCACCCGCUCUUGUAGGCCCGGCCGGCGCUUGCCGACACAUCAAUCUUUUUUCCAGGUUGACCUCGGAUCAGGUAGGGAUACCCGCUGAACUUAAGCAUAUCAAUAAGCGGAGGA
Molecule: unclassified non-coding RNA, 345 nt
Filed under: soil metagenome
Description: partial contains 5.8S ribosomal RNA, internal transcribed spacer 2, and large subunit ribosomal RNA
Rfam family: 5.8S ribosomal RNA (bases 2-120)
Source: RNAcentral